UGGGGAAUAUUGCGCAAUGGGCGAAAGCCUGACGCAGCGACGCCGCGUGAGGGAUGAAGGUUUUCGGAUCGUAAACCUCUGUCAGAAGGGAAGAAACCGCACUGUGCUAAUCAGCAGUGCCUUGACGGUACCUUCAAAGGAAGCACCGGCUAACUCCGUGCCAGCAGCCGCGGUGAUACGGAGGGUGCAAGCGUUAAUCGGAAUUACUGGGCGUAAAGCGCACGUAGGCUGCUUUGUAAGUCAGGGGUGAAAUCCCACGGCUCAACCGUGGAACUGCCUUUGAGACUGCUUAGCUUGAAUCCGGGAGAGGGUGGCGGAAUUCCAGGUGUAGGAGUGAAAUCCGUAGAUAUCUGGAGGAACAUCAGUGGCGAAGGCGGCCACCUGGACCGGUAUUGACGCUGAGGUGCGAAAGCGUGGGGAGCAAACAGG
RNAcentral lists this ribosomal RNA (429 nucleotides) under Fusobacteriota bacterium. RNAcentral describes it as "Fusobacteria bacterium partial 16S ribosomal RNA". It matches the Rfam family "Bacterial small subunit ribosomal RNA", at positions 355 to 776 of the family's 1533-position model. The record is from RNAcentral. Lineage: Bacteria; Fusobacteriati; Fusobacteriota.